Molecule: ribosomal RNA, 490 nt
Filed under: uncultured bacterium
Lineage: Bacteria
Description: partial 16S ribosomal RNA
Rfam family: Bacterial small subunit ribosomal RNA
Source: RNAcentral
AUUGAACGCUGGCGGCAGGCCUAACACAUGCAAGUCGAAUGGUAACAGGAAGAAGCUUGCUUCUUUGCUGACGAGUGGCGGACGGGUGAGUAAUGUCUGGGAAACUGCCUGAUGGAGGGGGAUAACUACUGGAAACGGUAGCUAAUACCGCAUAACGUCGCAAGACCAAAGAGGGGGACCUUCGGGCCUCUUGCCAUCGGAUGUGCCCAGAUGGGAUUAGCUAGUAGGUGGGGUAACGGCUCACCUAGGCGACGAUCCCUAGCUGGUCUGAGAGGAUGACCAGCCACACUGGAACUGAGACACGGUCCAGACUCCUACGGGAGGCAGCAGUGGGGAAUAUUGCACAAUGGGCGCAAGCCUGAUGCAGCCAUGCCGCGUGUAUGAAGAAGGCCUUCGGGUUGUAAAGUACUUUCAGCGGGGAGGAAGGGAGUAAAGUUAAUACCUUUGCUCAUUGACGUUACCCGCAGAAGAAGCACCGGCUAACUCCGUG